Non-coding RNA from Triticum aestivum (bread wheat), 125 nucleotides. The record is from Rfam. Lineage: Eukaryota; Viridiplantae; Streptophyta; Magnoliopsida; Poales; Poaceae.
UUUAUACUCCCUCCGUCCGGAAUUAGUUGUCGUGGAAAUGGAUAAAAAUGGAUGUAUCUAGAACUAAAAUACAUCUAGAUCCAUCCAUUUCUCCGACAAGUAUUUCCAUACGGAGGGAGUAUAUC